GGAAGAGGAACCGGAGAUCUUGUGAC
This 26-nucleotide non-coding RNA is filed under the name Rattus norvegicus (Norway rat). The record is from RNAcentral. Lineage: Eukaryota; Metazoa; Chordata; Mammalia; Rodentia; Muridae.